Molecule: long non-coding RNA, 1228 nt
Organism: Hippocampus zosterae (dwarf seahorse)
Lineage: Eukaryota; Metazoa; Chordata; Actinopteri; Syngnathiformes; Syngnathidae
Exons: 3
Source: RefSeq, a predicted model, not a curated record
CCUUCCAAGUCUUGUCCAGUGUGAUGUGACGCUCUAUGACCUUUGCCCCCAGAGCAACAGCCGCCACUGAAAUACUGAUUCCGGACUCAUGGCCAGAAUACCCAAUUGGGAUAUCGGGGAAUUCCUUCUGGUAUUCCUGUUGAUGACAAGAGGGUUUUAAGAUAUGAAUUACUUUGAACAUUUCAUCAAGUUAUUGUAAUUUUUUUGUUCGAUUUACUGUGAUCACUCUGAGGUUGACAUCCUGAGGCUCAAGGGGGUAGGUACUGGUACACUGCAGGAUGACAAAGUUUUGGUUGUGCUCCUUCACUGUCUUGUACACCUGACGCAUUGUCUCUAUGGACUGCAUCCCACUGGAAAUCACCAUGGGACGUCCUGACAUGCACGCACGUACCGUACACACAAAAGAGAAGCUUAAUGUCUAACAUGAAUGGAUUGUUCAACAUUGUAAUUUCAUUAUUAGGCCAUGAUUUUAGUACCCGGGCCUUGAGUGGGUCUUACUGGACUUCAUUCACCUCUUACUACGACCACUAUCGUGCCACAUUCAUAGAAACAAUCAACACCACACAAAAAAGCAAUAUAACAGCACACAAUUGUGCAAUGUCCAUCACGAGCAGUUCAGUCAGUAUUGCUUCUAUCUAUCUAUUGUAUGUAUGGAGUUUAUGUAUGUAAUCUGUGGUUCCCUAAAAUUUUAAAACUCAUAUCAAUCAACCAAUCACCUUUCUUGGCAGCCUUUUCCAAAUAAGGAAAGUUGUUGGCGUCUGCGGAGGCCACUUUGAAGAAAGGGACAUUAAUCUCGUGGAGAAACUCUAUCGCCAUCUAAAAAGUGCAAAGGUUAAAGUGAAACCUUUUUUUUUUUUGCGUGUGUUCAAAAUAUAAAACCUGCAAAGGCACACACAGUACCUCAUCCAUCCCUGAGGCAGUUAAGAAGAUCCCCACUUCCUUUGCGUACUUCUGCAGCUCCCUGUACUGGUCAUGGCUGAACUCCAGGUGGCGUUUGUGCUCACCAUACGUUUCUCCCCAGGAGUUUUUGGUCUUGUAAGGACGCUCCAAAGCACGUUUGUUGAACUUGUACUGCAGCUCACUUUUCUGGAACUUGGCACAGUCGGCACCACAGUCCUGUCAAAGUAAAUACAUAUGGAAUGGAUGAGGGACAUGCACACACACUUGUACUACAUUGACGUCCAGAAACGCAACCCCUCAUGGUGCUCCCUUCUAGAUGGGUCGCCCC